AUUGAACGCUGGCGGCAUGCCUUACACAUGCAAGUCGAACGGUAACGGGCCUUCGGGUGCCGACGAGUGGCGAACGGGUGAGUAAUACAUCGGAACGUGCCCGAUCGUGGGGGAUAACGAGGCGAAAGCUUUGCUAAUGCCGCAUACGAUCUACGGAUGAAAGCAGGGGACCGCAAGGCCUUGCGCGGACGGAGCGGCCGAUGGCAGAUUAGGUAGUUGGUGGGAUAAAAGCUUACCAAGCCGACGAUCUGUAGCUGGUCUGAGAGGAUGAUCAGCCACACUGGGACUGAGACACGGCCCAGACUCCUACGGGAGGCAGCAGUGGGGAAUUUUGGACAAUGGGCGCAAGCCUGAUCCAGCCAUGCCGCGUGCAGGAUGAAGGCCUUCGGGUUGUAAACUGCUUUUGUACGGAACGAAAAGCCUUCUUUUAAUACAGGAGGGUCAUGACGGUACCGUAAGAAUAAGCACCGGCUAACUACGUG
This 482-nucleotide ribosomal RNA is filed under the name uncultured bacterium. Its description in RNAcentral is "partial 16S ribosomal RNA". It matches the Rfam family "Bacterial small subunit ribosomal RNA", at positions 30 to 507 of the family's 1533-position model. The record is from RNAcentral.